This 547-nucleotide ribosomal RNA is filed under the name uncultured bacterium. Its description in RNAcentral is "bacterial SSU rRNA". It matches the Rfam family "Bacterial small subunit ribosomal RNA", at positions 1 to 504 of the family's 1533-position model. The record is from RNAcentral.
UAGAGUUUGAUCCUGGCUCAGAGUGAACGCUGGCGGCGUAGAUUAGGCAUGCAAGUCGAGCGAUAUCCUUUUUUUAAGAUGGUGAGACCGCAAGGUGGAUCUGUCAAGGGAAAGGGAAUAUAGCGGCAGACUGGUGAGUAACACGUGAGUAAUUUACCUCUAAGUCGGGGAUAGCCUUGCGAAAGCGAGGGUAAUACCUGAUGUGUUUACGGCUGCAUAAGCAGUCGUAAGUAAAGAAGGCUCGCAAGAGUUUUUGUUUAGAGAUGAGCUCGCGUCCUAUCAGCUAGUUGGUAGGGUAAUGGCCUACCAAGGCUUUUGACGGGUAGCUGGCCUGAGAGGGUGGUCAGCCACAUGGGGACUGAGACACUGCCCCAACUCCUACGGGAGGCUGCAGUCGAGGAUAUUUAGCAAUGGGCGAAAGCCUGACUAUGUGACGCCGCGUGGGGGAUGAAGGUCUUCGGAUUGUAAACCUCUUUCGAUGGGGAAGAAAACCUGUUCUUAACGGAACAGAUUGACGGUACCUAGAGAAGAAGCCACGGCCAACUCU